Molecule: long non-coding RNA, 454 nt
Organism: Pseudomyrmex gracilis
Lineage: Eukaryota; Metazoa; Arthropoda; Insecta; Hymenoptera; Formicidae
Exons: 2
Source: RefSeq, a predicted model, not a curated record
GCGAGUCUUGUCGCAACAGUCCACUUAGCGAUCGCACUUCGAGGAGAAUAAUACACCUUCCGCAAAGCCCGGGAGGACACUCUCGCGAUAAGAUUAGAGAACCCGCGGCGAUAUAAGUUUUCACGAUACGUUUCCUUCGUCUUAUAAGGCGCGGGAUUUUCGGUCGGACAGACUCUCGGUUCGCCUCUGCGGGUGCGAGGCAUCGACCCCGUACGGAUUAUUCAAUCAGGAAUAAAAGAUCGGUUCUCGCGCGUAAGAGAGUUCACAAUUGCCAACAAUGAGACGUCUACUGCUACUGGUGCUUGUUCUGGCGACUUGCUGGGCAGACAAUCCCAUUUUGGAUCCCAUUCUGAACGACGUACCUCCGCAACUCACUCAAGCCGUAUCUGGCGAUUACAGAUUGCCAGAAGAUAUCAAGCCUCUUAAAUACAUCAUCAAAUUGACACCGACCUUC